UCUAGGCCCCGUCAGGAGCCCGAGUUGUAAUUUGGAGAGGACACUUCGGGUGCCUCGUAACGGCGAGUGAAGCGGCAAGAGCUCAAAUUUGAAAGCUGGCCCCUUCGGGGUCCGCGUUGUAAUUUGCAGAGGAUGCUUCGGGUGCGGCCCCUGUCUAAGUGCCCUGGAACGGGCCGUCAGAGAGGGUGAGAAUCCCGUCUUGGGCAGGGUGCCCGUGCCCGUGUGAAGCUCCUUCGACGAGUCGAGUUGUUUGGGAAUGCAGCUCUAAAUGGGUGGUAAAUUUCAUCUAAAGCUAAAUACCGGCCGGAGACCGAUAGCGCACAAGUAGAGUGAUCGAAAGAUGAAAAGCACUUUGAAAAGAGAGUUAAACAGCACGUGAAAUUGUUGAAAGGGAAGCGCUUGCGACCAGACUCGGCCCCGGGGUUCAGCCAGCACUCGUGCUGGUGUACUUCCCCGGGGGCGGGCCAGCGUCGGUUUGGGCGGCCGGUCAAAGGCCCCAGGAAUGUAUCGCCCUCCGGGGUUGUCUUAUAGCCUGGGGUGCAAUGCGGCCAGCCCGGACCGAGGAACGCGCUUCGGCACGGACGCUGGCGUAAUGGUCGCAAACGACCCGUCUUGAAACACGGAC
Molecule: ribosomal RNA, 625 nt
Filed under: Aspergillus nidulans
Lineage: Eukaryota; Fungi; Ascomycota; Eurotiomycetes; Eurotiales; Aspergillaceae
Description: eukaryotic LSU rRNA
Rfam family: Eukaryotic large subunit ribosomal RNA
Source: RNAcentral